UGGGGAAUAUUGCACAAUGGGCGCAAGCCUGAUGCAGCAAUGCCGCGUGAGUGAAGACGGCCUUAGGGUUGUAAAACUCUUUCGCUAGGGAAGAUAAUGACGGUACCUAGUAAAGAAGUCCCGGCUAACUCCGUGCCAGCAGCCGCGGUAAUACGUAGGGUGCAAGCGUUGUCCGGAAUUAUUGGGCGUAAAGAGCUCGUAGGCGGUCCGUUGCGUCUGCCGUGAAAACCCGGAGCUCAACUCCGGGCCUGCGGUGGAUACGGGCGGACUAGAGUCCGGUAGGGGAGACUGGAAUUCCUGGUGUAGCGGUGGAAUGCGCAGAUAUCAGGAGGAACACCGGUGGCGAAGGCGGGUCUCUGGGCCGGAACUGACGCUGAGGAGCGAAAGCGUGGGGAGCGAACAGGAUUAGA
This 410-nucleotide ribosomal RNA is filed under the name uncultured bacterium. Its description in RNAcentral is "bacterial SSU rRNA". It matches the Rfam family "Bacterial small subunit ribosomal RNA", at positions 355 to 782 of the family's 1533-position model. The record is from RNAcentral.